UACGUAGGGCGCAAGCGUUGUCCGGAAUUAUUGGGCGUAAAGAGCUCGUAGGCGGUGUGUCACGUCGGCCGUGAAAACCUGCAGCUUAACUGUGGGCGUGCGGUCGAUACGGGCAUCACUGGAGUUCGGCAGGGGAGACUGGAAUUCCUGGUGUAGCGGUGAAAUGCGCAGAUAUCAGGAGGAACACCGGUGGCGAAGGCGGGUCUCUGGGCUGACACUGACGCUCAUGCACGAAGGCGUGGGGAGCAAACAGG
Molecule: ribosomal RNA, 254 nt
Filed under: uncultured bacterium
Lineage: Bacteria
Description: partial 16S ribosomal RNA
Rfam family: Bacterial small subunit ribosomal RNA
Source: RNAcentral